GACGAACGCUGGCGGCGUGCUUAACACAUGCAAGUCGAACGGAAAGGCCCUGCUUUUGUGGGGUGCUCGAGUGGCGAACGGGUGAGUAACACGUGAGUAACCUGCCCUUGACUUUGGGAUAACUUCAGGGAACUGGGGCUAAUACCGGAUAGGAGCUCCUGCUGCGUGGGGGGCGUUGGAAAGUUUCGGCGGUUGUGGAUGGACUCGCGGCUUACGAGCUUGUUGGGGGGGUAGUGGCUGACCACGCUUUUGACGGGUAGCCGGCCUGAGAGGGUGACCGGCGACAUUGCGACUGAGAGACGCACCAGACUGCAACGGGCGGCAGCAGUGGAGAAUAUUGCACAAUGGGCGGAAGCCUGAUACAGCAACGCCGCGUGCGGGAUGACGGCUUUCGGGUUGUAAACCGCUUUCGCCUGAGACGAAGCGGGCGUGACGGUAACGGGUAAAGAAGCACCGGCUAACUACGUG
This 468-nucleotide ribosomal RNA is filed under the name uncultured bacterium. Its description in RNAcentral is "partial 16S ribosomal RNA". It matches the Rfam family "Bacterial small subunit ribosomal RNA", at positions 28 to 507 of the family's 1533-position model. The record is from RNAcentral.